RNAcentral lists this ribosomal RNA (253 nucleotides) under uncultured bacterium. Its description in RNAcentral is "partial 16S ribosomal RNA". It matches the Rfam family "Bacterial small subunit ribosomal RNA", at positions 524 to 776 of the family's 1533-position model. The record is from RNAcentral.
UACGGGGGGAGCAAGCGUUGUUCGGAUUUACUGGGCGUAAAGGGCGCGUAGGCGGCGUGACAAGUCACUUGUGAAAUCUCCGGGCUUAACUCGGAACGGUCAAGUGAUACUGUCGUGCUAGAGUACAGAAGGGGCAACUGGAAUUCUCGGUGUAGCGGUGAAAUGCGUAGAUAUCGAGAGGAACACCUGCGGCGAAGGCGGGUUGCUGGGCUGAUACUGACGCUGAGGCGCGAAAGCCAGGGGAGCGAACGGG